Molecule: ribosomal RNA, 253 nt
Filed under: uncultured bacterium
Lineage: Bacteria
Description: partial 16S ribosomal RNA
Rfam family: Bacterial small subunit ribosomal RNA
Source: RNAcentral
UACGUAGGGGGCGAGCGUUGUCCGGAAUCAUUGGGCGUAAAGCGCGCGUAGGUGGCUUCGUAAGUCCGCUGUGAAAGUCAAAGGCUCAACCUUUGAAAGCCGGUGGAUACUGUGAAGCUAGAGUCCGGAAGAGGCGAGUGGAAUUCCUGGUGUAGCGGUGGAAUGCGCAGAUAUCAGGAGGAACACCAAUAGCGAAGGCAGCUCGCUGGGACGGUACUGACACUGAGGCGCGAAAGCUAGGGGAGCGAACAGG